CUACAGAGGGUGCGAGCGUUAAUCGGAAUUACUGGGCGUAAAGCGCGCGUAGGCGGCUUGUUAAGUCAGAUGUGAAAUCCCCGGGCUCAACCUGGGAACUGCAUCUGAUACUGCUUGGCUAGAAUAUGGUAGAGGGAAGUGGAAUUCCGGGUGUAGCGGUGAAAUGCGUAGAUAUCCGGAGGAACACCAGUGGCGAAGGCGGCUUCCUGGACCAAUAUUGACGCUGAGGUACGAAAGCGUGGGUAGCAAACAGGAUUAGAUACCCCAGUAGUCC
Molecule: ribosomal RNA, 274 nt
Filed under: uncultured bacterium
Lineage: Bacteria
Description: partial 16S ribosomal RNA
Rfam family: Bacterial small subunit ribosomal RNA
Source: RNAcentral